This 481-nucleotide ribosomal RNA is filed under the name uncultured bacterium. RNAcentral describes it as "partial 16S ribosomal RNA". It matches the Rfam family "Bacterial small subunit ribosomal RNA", at positions 28 to 507 of the family's 1533-position model. The record is from RNAcentral.
GAUGAACGCUGGCGGCGUGCUUAACACAUGCAAGUCGAACGAAGCACUUUAUUUGAUUUCCUUCGGGACUGAUUAUUUUGUGACUGAGUGGCGGACGGGUGAGUAACGCGUGGGUAACCUGCCUUGUACAGGGGGAUAACAGUUGGAAACGGCUGCUAAUACCGCAUAAGCGCACGGCAUCGCAUGAUGCAGUGUGAAAAACUCCGGUGGUAUAAGAUGGACCCGCGUUGGAUUAGCUAGUUGGUGAGGUAACGGCCCACCAAGGCGACGAUCCAUAGCCGGCCUGAGAGGGUGACCGGCCACAUUGGGACUGAGACACGGCCCAAACUCCUACGGGAGGCAGCAGUGGGGAAUAUUGCACAAUGGGCGAAAGCCUGAUGCAGCGACGCCGCGUGAGCGAAGAAGUAUUUCGGUAUGUAAAGCUCUAUCAGCAGGGAAGAUAAUGACGGUACCUGACUAAGAAGCACCGGCUAAAUACGUG